AUCCGUCAAAAACUGAUCGUAGUCGAGUGACAACACCAUUUCCGGAAAAACACUGUACGACAAAAUGGCGGACGAAACCAAACAAGUGACAAGGUUCGUGAGUGGUUCCAGGCGUGUGAUGACCCAGGGAUAUCAGCUAUUGACAGAUGCAGGAUGAUACAGAUGGGUAUAUAGGUUCAAGAAAUUCCUUCUGUCACUGGCUGAAAUGUCAACCUUCCCUCCAGUGGGUUUACAUGUCAACACGUCCAAGAUCUGUGGGGAGAGCAUUGUAAGACAAGAUCCAACCAGGACGACUUGUUUGAUGCCCCCAGUAGGCUACAUUGUGUGAGGAAACCCUAGCAGGGUAUGUCAAGUCUGCAUGAACCUGGUCUUGGAGCUACCCACAAAGUCAAGGAAAGCAAUAUGUAGCG
Long non-coding RNA from Haliotis rubra (blacklip abalone), 410 nucleotides. RefSeq lists it as uncharacterized. Lineage: Eukaryota; Metazoa; Mollusca; Gastropoda; Lepetellida; Haliotidae. The transcript is spliced from 4 exons. The record is from RefSeq and is a predicted model, not a curated record.